RNAcentral lists this ribosomal RNA (647 nucleotides) under uncultured Porphyromonadaceae bacterium. RNAcentral describes it as "bacterial SSU rRNA". It matches the Rfam family "Bacterial small subunit ribosomal RNA", at positions 72 to 715 of the family's 1533-position model. Lineage: Bacteria; Pseudomonadati; Bacteroidota; Bacteroidia; Bacteroidales; Porphyromonadaceae. The record is from RNAcentral.
UAAAGUAGCAAUACUUUGGUGGCGACCGGCGCACGGGUGAGUAACGCGUAUGCAACCCAUCUAUCAGAGGGGAAUAACCCGGCGAAAGUCGGACUAAUACCGCAUAAAACAGGGACACCGCAUGGUGAUAUUUGUUAAAGAAAUUCGCUGAUAGAUGGGCAUGCGUUCCAUUAGGUAGUUGGUGAGGUAACGGCUCACCAAGCCGACGAUGGAUAGGGGAACUGAGAGGUUGGUCCUCCACACUGGUACUGAGACACGGACCAGACUCCUACGGGAGGCAGCAGUGAGGAAUAUUGGUCAAUGGGCGAGAGCCUGAACCAGCCAAGUCGCGUGAAGGAAGAAGGAUCUAUGGUUCGUAAACUUCUUUUGCAGGGGAAUAAAGUGCAGGACGUGUCCUGUUUUGUAUGUACCCUGAGAAUAAGGAUCGGCUAACUCCGUGCCAGCAGCCGCGGUAAUACGGAGGAUCCGAGCGUUAUCCGGAUUUAUUGGGUUUAAAGGGUGCGUAGGUGGUUUGAUAAGUCAGCGGUGAAAGUUUGCAGCUUAACUGUAAAAAUGCCGUUGAAACUGUCGGACUUGAGUGUAAAUGAGGUAGGCGGAAUGCGUGGUGUAGCGGUGAAAUGCUUAGAUAUCACGAAGAACUCCGAUUG